RNAcentral lists this long non-coding RNA (1238 nucleotides) under Coturnix japonica (Japanese quail). RNAcentral's name for it is "lncRNA (ENSCJPG00005010984.1)". Lineage: Eukaryota; Metazoa; Chordata; Aves; Galliformes; Phasianidae. The record is from RNAcentral.
GGAAUGACUGCUUUCCUCCCUGCUAUCCAUGCAGACCCCCAGAGUCACUGCUGUUAGGAGGACACAAGCUCAAAGCUCAGCAAGGUUACGCGGUCACUGUCCCCAUGACCAUCUUCCCUAGCAGGUAUUUGGCUGGGGCUGUUCUCAGCAGGCAGCUGGGAUGUGGCCACCCUGUUUUCCAGAUAAUGAUUGGUCCAUGGCCAUCAUGCCAUGCCAGCUGGCCUGAGAAUCACGGAAUGGACUGCAGCCUUCUGCCUUCACUGAUACAGGCAUCGCCUUGGGCUGUGCUGGCUGGGAGCAAAGGAGCUGGGCUAUAAUUGUUGUUUACUAUCCACCUCUUCAUUGCAAAGCAGAGAGCUUUGAAUGAUGGUGCAGAAAUUGUUCAGUGAAGAGAGAGUGAAGAAGGCAUUUGGAUAUCACCAUGACUGCUGCUUUCAAGAGAAGAGUAAUUUGUCUAAUACACAAUCUGUCAUCCUCCCUUCAUGCUGAAAAAGUGAGGAGCUGCUGGAAACUAACCACACAUAUGGUGACAUGGCUCUGCCAUUAGCUUGGGCAGGAGACAAAUCUCCCUACAUCACUGGCAUGCAGCACUGGAAACACUUAUCUCUUGGGCUCAUGCUAAGGGCUGGCCAAGAUGCACUCUUCUUUCCACCGGUGCUGCUGUGACAACAGAGCCUCUUCCAUAAUUUCUGCUAAGCUUGUGAUGCAGCCUGAACUCAGUGGACGGGCCAGGUUACAUCAUGGGAGAGCAGAAGGACAAAACUCGUUCGUUAGUUUGGAAGCCUGUUCUGGAGACAGACACGAUCACUCCACACGACUCCUUUCCUUGGGAAGACUGACCUCACACUUGGGAAGAAAGGUGGCAUUUUUAAUAGCUUUUUUUUUUUCUUUUUUUUUUUUUUCAUUUUAUAAGUUUUUGAGAUUUUUUUAGAUAUUCUAUUUUUUUAAUAUAUACAAAUUCAGUAUUUUAAAUCUCUCUAUGCAGCUGUAGAUUGGGGAAGAGACAUAAAAUACCAUUUACUCAGUCAAGAGUCUUUUCCAUUUUUUCUUUGUGCUUUGUUUAUUUAACUUCUGUAUUGUAUUUUGGUCUAAAUGGACCAAAACACUGGCAAAUACUGUGAUCCCUUGACCCAAAUUGGCAGCACAGGCUACACUGAAGGUAAGGCCAUCUUCCCCAAAGCCUGUGAAUGCUCUGGAUUCCUUUCUCUUCCCAGGUAUGGGCUGCAUGUUUUGAAAAG